RNAcentral lists this ribosomal RNA (1704 nucleotides) under Triticum aestivum (bread wheat). Its description in RNAcentral is "partial small subunit ribosomal RNA". Lineage: Eukaryota; Viridiplantae; Streptophyta; Magnoliopsida; Poales; Poaceae. The record is from RNAcentral.
AUGUCGAGUUCAGUCUGCUCCCUGUCGCUCCUUGGCCUUGCUGCCGCUCUUCUUCUCUGCUGCUCCCGGCCUGCGACCGCUAAGGAGCAACGCCACGAGUUCGUGAUCCAGGAGGCGGCGGUGACGAGGCUGUGCAACUCGCGGAGCAUCGUGACGGCAAACGGGCAGUUCCCCGGGCCGGCGGUGGAGUUGAACGAGGGCGACUCCCUCGUCGUCAGCGUCGUCAACAACGCCACCUACAACGUCACCAUCCACUGGCACGGCGUGCGGCAGAUGCGGACGGGGUGGUCGGACGGGCCGGAGUUCGUGACGCAGUGCCCGAUCCGGCCGGGGGGCAGCUACACGUACCGCUUCACGGUGGCCGGGCAGGAGGGCACGCUGUGGUGGCACGCGCACAGCUCCUGGCUCAGGGCCACCGUCUACGGCGCGCUCAUCAUCCGCCCGCGCGACCCCGUCCCCUACCCCUUCGACUUCCACGGCGAGCUCGCCCCCAUCAUGCUCGGUGAGUGGUGGGACAUGAACCCCAUCGACGUCAUCCGCACCGCCACGCGCACCGGUGCAGCUCCCAACGUCUCCGACGCCAUCACCGUCAACGGCCAACCCGGCGACCUCUACAGCUGCUCCUCCCAAGACACGACCGUGUUCCCGGUCAAGUCCGGCGAGACCAACCUGUUGCGCUUCAUCAACGCCGCGCUCAACACCGAGCUCUUCGUCUCCCUCGCCGGCCACACCAUGACCGUCGUGGGCGCCGACGCCUCCUACCUCAAGCCGUACAACACCACUGUCAUCGUGCUCGGGCCCGGCCAGACCACGGACGUCCUCGUCACCUUCGACCAGCCGCCGGGCCGGUACUACCUCGCCGCCCGCGCCUACGCCAGCGCGCAGGGUGUGCCCUUCGACAACACCACCACCACCGCCAUCUUCGACUACGGCGCCGGUGGCACGGCGAGCCCGGCGAUGCCGACCCUCCCAGCGUACAAUGACACGGCCACGGUCACCACGUUCACAACGAGCCUGCGCAACCUCCACUCGGUGGGCCUCCCCUCGGCGGUCGACGAGGACCUUUUCUUCACCGUCGGCGUCGGCCUCUUCAACUGCUCCAGCGGACAGAACUGCGGCGGCCCCAACAACACGCGGUUCGCGGCGAGCAUCAACAACGCCUCCUUCGUUCUCCCCUCCACCGUCUCCAUCCUCCAGGCACACUACCAGGGCGAUGCCGCCGCCACCGGCGUCUUCACCACCGACUUCCCCGCCAACCCGCCGGUGCAGUUCGACUACACGGCGCAGAAUGUGAGCCGCGCGCUCUGGCAGCCCGUGCCAGGCACCAAGGUGUACAAGCUCAAGUACGGCUCCGUGGUGCAGAUCGUGCUCCAGGGCACCAACAUCUUCGCCGGGGAGAACCACCCUAUCCACACCCAUGGCUACGACUUCUUCAUCCUCGCUGAGGGCUUCGGCAACUUCGAUGCCGCUACCGACACCGCAAAGUUCAACCUCGACGACCCACCAAUGAGGAACACGGUGGGCGUCCCGCUGAAUGGGUGGGCUGUCAUCCGGUUCGUCGCCGACAACCCCGGGGUGUGGCUGAUGCACUGCCAUCUGGAUGUGCACAUCACCUGGGGCCUCGCCAUGGCCUUCCUGGUCGAGGAUGGAGUAGGAGAGCUGCAGUCCCUGGGGGCACCCCCACCAGACCUGCCAAUUUGCUGA